UGGGGGAUAUUGCGCAAUGGAGGCAACUCUGACGCAGCAACGCCGCGUGAAGGAUGAAGGUUCUUGGAUCGUAAACUUCUUUUGCAGGGGAAGAAUAAAAUGACGGUACCCUGCGAAUAAGCCACGGCUAACUACGUGCCAGCAGCCGCGGUAAUACGUAGGUGGCAAGCGUUGUCCGGAUUUACUGGGUGUAAAGGGCGUGUAGGCGGGGAAACAGGUCAGAUGUGAAAUCCCGAGGCUUAACCUCGGAACUGCAUUUGAAACCUUUUCUCUUGAGUGAUGGAGAGGCAGGCGGAAUUCCUAGUGUAGCGGUGAAAUGCGUAGAUAUUAGGAGGAACACCAGUGGCGAAGGCGGCCUGCUGGACAUUAACUGACGCUGAGGCGCGAAAGCGUGGGGAGCAAACA
This is a ribosomal RNA of 405 nucleotides. It matches the Rfam family "Bacterial small subunit ribosomal RNA", at positions 355 to 774 of the family's 1533-position model.